This 18-nucleotide small nuclear RNA is filed under the name Arabidopsis thaliana (thale cress). RNAcentral describes it as "snRNA_00138". The record is from RNAcentral. Lineage: Eukaryota; Viridiplantae; Streptophyta; Magnoliopsida; Brassicales; Brassicaceae.
AUGCCCGCGGCUUCUCCU